CUUCCUGGUCAUAAUUUUUUCUUUUAUUACUUGUUCAAUAUUAUUCAGUUUCUAAUGUGCAUUGAAUAUUUCACACAGGGUGCUCUCCUCAACCCCAACAAAGUUCUGAAGGAGACGAAGCCACCAGCGUAUCCCUGCACUCAGCACUUCAGAUCCGCUCCUCCACUGUCCCAUCAGCCAAUGCGGCAGUAUUUCCAGCCAGAGGCACAGCAUCAGUCAAUCCCAGAGAUGGAACAAUGGAGUCAAGAUGAACACCAGUCACAACACCACCACACUCACAAACACAGUCAGCCCCUGCAGCAUCAUUCACAACCGCACGCUAAAUAUCAUCAACAGUUACUGUAUCAUUCCCAGACUCGCCAACCACACAUCUCACAGCAAACGGUUUCCCAGCAGCAGCAGCAUCAACUGUACACACAGUUCCAGCCUCAUCAGAUACCAACCGCACGCUAAAUAUCAUCAACAGUUACUGUAUCAUUCCCAGACUCGCCAACCACACAUCUCACAGCAAACGGUUUCCCAGCAGCAGCAGCAGCAUCAACUGUACACACAGUUCCAGCCUCAUCAGAUACCAGAGAAGCAGUACCAGUGUCCGGGCCAGUGGCAGAUGCCAUGCCAAGAGGGCCAAUACCAAAAGCAACAGCUACAUCAACCUGUAACUUUCCCUUCUCUAGGUCAGGAGAAAAACUGGAAUCAUGUAACAGGCCCACAUGGCUUGCAACAUGCACAAAUGAAACGUAGAUACUGUAUGCAGAUGCCAGAAGAACCAAAACUACUAUCUAAGGUCACUGUCCAGGAGACUCACGGAAAGGGAUCGAAGGUCCCUCAUUAUAAGGAAAGUGAAGUUACUGAAGCAAAUCCGGGUUUACAGGAUAAAAGUUUUAAACUGAACAAGGAAUCAUAUGUUGGCUUACAUCUUACCCCUAGUCAGGCAAAGGCCCUUUCCCAGCAGCUUGGAGUGCUUCAAACGGAUGCAGUAGAUGGCAGUAGAGUGUCAGAUCUGAACUGUGAACCUGCAGAAAGCAAGGAACUGCUAGCACAGAAUCAAAGCUACAGUGCUGGAGAGACACAAAAUAUGUUCAACAUCAACUUAUCUGACCCUUCAUCCUGGCUGGACCAGGACAUAUCAAGUCUGCCGGACUCUGUUUUGGAGUUUGAUUUAGAAACGUUCGGUCUGGACAGUAACUUAGGUUGGCCAUGAAUGUAUCAUAAUAGUGAACCAAAAUGAACAUGUGUGUUGUUAUGACACAUUCAUUUGGACAAGUGCACUAUUAAGAGAAUAUUUUUGCCAAUGGAAUUGAAAAAUAAUUUUAGAGUCAAAUAGAAGGUAAACUAUUAAUUGGCUAAAAGGUUCUAUAAGGGAACAAACAGGAAAUAAUUUUUUAAUAAAUAGUUUUGCACACAGAGGUCCUAAAUAGCAGGUCUAUGUGCCUUAAUAUGCAUUUUUGGUUAUAUUUGAUUAUAAAUAGAAUAAAUAGAUUGUUUAUGUACAGAUACAUGAGGUGAAGUCAUGUGUGAGUUGUUUAGGAAAUGUAUAUUUUCACAUUUCAUAGCAUAGAAUAACUGGUAUAAUGUGUAAAUGUAAGAAAAUAUGGCUAGUUUAGGGCCUAAAUUAACUUCUUUAAUUCAUCAAAAUGUUGUCUUGAUGGCAAAAGAGUAAACAUUUUUAACAUUUUACUUUUUAACAUAUAGAUCAAAACUAAUUAUGUAUAAUUAGUUAUGCAUGGAUUUAUAGAUUCCAUAUCCAUUUGUUUGCAUGUUAUAGUGUGACUGACCGUUGACAGACGCCUGCCUUUGAAUUUCUAUAUCAUCAUUUUGUUGCAGUUUCAUCUUUCAUAGAUAUUCAAAAUGCAGUUUUAUUAUAUUUUCAUAUUAAUUUUGCUUUGUCACUCUCUGGUAGAGGUCAUGUUGUUUUUUAGUAUUUGUCUUCAAUGUGAAAUCAAAAAUAUUUUCACAGUAUGCAUAUUAGAAUACAUUUACAUUUCUGACAGCAUUAAUAACAUAAUAUGAACAAAAACACCAUCUGUAAAUUCCAGAAGUAUUACAAUUAAAAAGUGGACUAAUACCUCUAAGCGUAAUUAUUUCAGAUAUUGUUACUAUAACGUUUAGGACUGAUUUACUAGUUUACACCAGGCCCAGCCUCACAGUAAAGCCAUAUUGGUUGCACAUUAUUUUACAGUAUGUUAACUUACAGUGUGCUUACAGUGUACCUACCUAAGAAAGUACCAGUAAUAUAAGGUAACUACAUGGGGUAGAGUUAGGUUCAGGGUUAGUACCUAGUUAUUGUAAUAGUUCAUAGUAUGUACAUGAGUAACAGGACUGUAAAAUAAAUGGCUAUCACCAUAUUUAUUAUGUCUU
Molecule: long non-coding RNA, 2358 nt
Filed under: Sinocyclocheilus grahami
Lineage: Eukaryota; Metazoa; Chordata; Actinopteri; Cypriniformes; Cyprinidae
Description: lncRNA (ENSSGRG00000041807.1)
Source: RNAcentral